ACUCCUCCUGUGACCUUUCAAGGCUUGGGAGCACCGCAUCAACUUCUACACCUGACUCUGACCGACCAAGCCUCCCAUUUAUGUUUUCGAAGCUCUCCUACAUGCACGGCCUCUGAUAGCUCUGAAAUUGCCUAUAGGAGCCUCCAAAAUUGUCACAGCCUCCAUCAUCACCGAUCUUGCCUAGAUUUGAGCCUCCGAAGUCUCCCCGUAAGGUCUUCACCUCCAUAGUGCUGAUCAAUCAU
This 242-nucleotide long non-coding RNA is filed under the name Elaeis guineensis (African oil palm). RNAcentral describes it as "long non-coding RNA (EGUI_LNC038028)". Lineage: Eukaryota; Viridiplantae; Streptophyta; Magnoliopsida; Arecales; Arecaceae. The record is from RNAcentral.